RNAcentral lists this ribosomal RNA (436 nucleotides) under uncultured bacterium. RNAcentral's name for it is "bacterial SSU rRNA". It matches the Rfam family "Bacterial small subunit ribosomal RNA", at positions 954 to 1389 of the family's 1533-position model. The record is from RNAcentral.
GCUUAACGCGAAGAACCUUACCUGGCCUUGACAUCCAUGGAAUCCCGAAGAGAUUUGGGAGUGCCGCAAGGAACCAUGAGACAGGUGCUGCAUGGCUGUCGUCAGCUCGUGUCGUGAGAUGUUGGGUUAAGUCCCGCAACGAGCGCAACCCUUGUCCUUAGUUGCCAUCAUUAAGUUGGGAACUCUAAGGAGACCGCCGGUGACAAACCGGAGGAAGGUGGGGAUGACGUCAAGUCAUCAUGGCCUUUAUGGCCAGGGCUACACACGUGCUACAAUGGCAAGUACAGAGGGAAGCCAACCGGCGACGGGGAGCUAAUCCCACGAAAACUUGUCUUAGUCCGGAUUGCAGUCUGCAACUCGACUGCAUGAAGUUGGAAUCGCUAGUAAUCGCAGAUCAGCAUUGCUGCGGUGAAUACGUUCCCGGGUCUUGUACACA